ACUCUGUUAUUACCACUGGAUGCCACAAUCCUCUUGGAGAGAUAAGGAAAAUUCUGUUUUUUUUCAUAUAACUUCAUUGGAGCUUUUGCUGCUGAAAAAUUUAUGGACAGCAUCUGAAAGGGGACAAAAUAAGUGAGCACUAAAUAUUCUCGGAGAGUUAACACGAAAAUGAGAAAAAGGAAUAAAGACAAGAGCUUGCUAGAAAACUCUGCACCUUUGUAUAAGCUAGAAAACACUGACACCAUUGCAAGGAGAUUGCAACAUAACCACCGCCUCCUCCAGAUCAUUUAUGCACAUGGCCCCAGGGAAGGAUACAGAGUUAACUAAGACCUGGCCUCUGUCCACAAGAAGUUACUGGACUAGCAACAUUUUCAGUCUAUUCACAACCGUGUUCAUUGAUGCUGCCGUGUAUGGGGAAACAGAUGUCAAGUUAUAGAGCAAACAAUUUUCUAAGCUAAAAUAUUUUAUAUUGUUUAAAAACCCCGUCAAAUUGGGUAAUUUGGAUUUUUAUGUGUAAAAGAGAUUACUUUUUAAGAAACUAAAUUGCAUAGUACUUAUUCUUUCAUCAGAUAAAAUACAUUAGAGUUGAAUACUAUAGUUAUUUUAAAGAUGGACAAGAAAGUAGUAUUAUAAAUUGAUAACCAUGAGAGUUUAAUACCUCUUUAGAGAGGUACACAAGAUCUUAUUUUUUGUAUAAUGUCACAGUAAUGAAAACAAGGCAUGUGUCCUACUGCCUCCAACUCUCCCCUGACGCCCUCUUCCCUAAAGCCAAGUGGGGACUAGUCUAAACAGUUCCUAGUACAGUUACUAACAAUUAAUUACAAUGGAUAUUGUCCUCUGUUUGUUCUCCAAGUCGAGCCCAAUCACCUCACUUUAUAAAGAAAGUAUUAAGCUGAGGUUUAGAAAAAUGAAAUCCUUGUCUAGAAAAAGAACAUACGACUGGUUAUAAUAUCCUGAUCUUCCCAUCUAGUUCCCUUCUCAUAAUACUCUUCGGGAAAAUUUUGUGCUGCUAUGCCAAUAACCCACUGCAUUUACUAAUUUUUUUAAUGAAAAUGAGAAGUAGGUUACAGACCAGUUUUUAUUGUAUUAUGUCUGUAGAUCCUGACUGAUUGAAAAGAUUGGGUGCAGAAUGACUGUAUUCUAUGGUGUGCAUUGAAUACCUAUGAAUAAACACAAACACAAAUGCAUACUUCUUUGUUCACUUUUAGUUUACUGCUCUUUGUUCACUUUUAGUAAGUGCUCUUUGUUCACUUUUAGUUGCACAAUGUAAUAUAUUUCGAGUCGCUGCUUAACCUAUCUUUUAUCCCAAAUACUUUUAUUACAAGAAAAGCAGACAUCUCAAAAGAAUAUGUCAGGGCCUAUAAUUUUACAAGAAAUUUUCUUUCUUAGUUUUAUUUUAAGACUUCGUUUUCAAGGGAAGUGAAAAAUUGUGGGCACUUGUUAGCGUGUACAAGAGUACUGAGACAAAGGCAUUUGUGUGUGUGCGUGUUGUGGUUUAUGCUGACUGUAUACAUACAUAAUGAAGACAACCUUUGAAAAAUUUGGUUCUAAAUGUCAAGAACCAAAAAGAACUCUAUCAUGUGUGUUAUUAAUAUGUUUCACUAUCUAAAAGAAUAGUCCAUCAUGUAGUAGGAAUGUCACAUUACCAUAAUUUUCUUGUAUCAAAUGCAUGCAUUUAGCAAGUGCAUUAUGCCAGUGUCUGCCUUGAAAGAAGGAAAUCUCUUUGUAGUGCGCUUCAUGAGGUUGAACUGUCCCAUCUCCUUUAAAAAUAGAUCAAUAUUUUAGAAGUAAUUUUACAACUUUUUUUAAGCUUUCCUA
Molecule: long non-coding RNA, 1818 nt
Organism: Chinchilla lanigera (long-tailed chinchilla)
Lineage: Eukaryota; Metazoa; Chordata; Mammalia; Rodentia; Chinchillidae
Source: Ensembl